This 232-nucleotide ribosomal RNA is filed under the name Nitrospirota bacterium. RNAcentral describes it as "Nitrospirae bacterium (groundwater metagenome) partial 16S ribosomal RNA". It matches the Rfam family "Bacterial small subunit ribosomal RNA", at positions 1 to 220 of the family's 1533-position model. Lineage: Bacteria; Pseudomonadati; Nitrospirota. The record is from RNAcentral.
UUUUUAAUGAGAGUUUGAUCCUGGCUCAGAACGAACGCUGGCGGCGUGCCUAACACAUGCAAGUCGAACGGAGUCAUUUUGAAGUAGCAAUACGGAUGGAUGACUUAGUGGCGCACGGGUGAGUAACACGUAGGUAACCUGCCCUUAAGAGGGGGAAAACCCGCCGAAAGGCGAGCUAAUACCGCAUAAGACCACGAAUUGAGAUGUUUGUGGUAAAAGGAGCAAUCCACUU